AAAGUCGUAACAAGGUAACCGUAGGUGAACCUGCGGUUGGAUCAUUACAAAGUUCGUUGCCCCGAAGAGGGGUCCAACGAUGGGUUUGUUUUGUGCACCGUCUCUGUCUUUGGCGGGUGGGUAGAGCAGACUGGGGGUCUGCCUGCCUGUCAGCUUGGUGGGGCGCCGGGGGAAACCCAGGGUGCGCGGGGGAGCCGAGCUGUGCCUCUAGAGAGAGGCCUUGCUUGCUUGCAACCGCGCGUCCCCGGGGCCACCCUGCCUGACCGACCAGGCCGUGGACAACCCGUCGGUGGCCUCGCACCGCUGCGUGCGGGCCGCAGCAACCGAACUGCACUGCAUUUUUUCGAGUGGUUUACAGCCUUACAUCCAACCUCCGUACCGGAGGAGACGGAAACAACCGACAACUUUUGGCAACGGAUCUCUUGGUUCUC
This 431-nucleotide unclassified non-coding RNA is filed under the name Chytridiomycota sp. RNAcentral describes it as "partial contains small subunit ribosomal RNA, internal transcribed spacer 1, and 5.8S ribosomal RNA". The stretch from base 1 to 47 matches the Rfam family "Eukaryotic small subunit ribosomal RNA", at positions 1785 to 1831 of the family's 1831-position model. The record is from RNAcentral. Lineage: Eukaryota; Fungi; Chytridiomycota.